RNAcentral lists this transfer RNA (77 nucleotides) under Pelosinus sp. UFO1. Its description in RNAcentral is "tRNA-Arg (TCG) (tRNA-Arg-TCG-1-1)". It matches the Rfam family "tRNA". Rfam says of the family: Transfer RNA (tRNA) molecules are approximately 80 nucleotides in length. Their secondary structure includes four short double-helical elements and three loops (D, anti-codon, and T loops). Further hydrogen bonds mediate the characteristic L-shaped molecular structure. tRNAs have two regions of fundamental functional importance: the anti-codon, which is responsible for specific mRNA codon recognition, and the 3' end, to which the tRNAs corresponding amino acid is attached (by aminoacyl-tRNA synthetases). tRNAs cope with the degeneracy of the genetic code in two manners: having more than one tRNA (with a specific anti-codon) for a particular amino acid; and 'wobble' base-pairing, i.e. permitting non-standard base-pairing at the 3rd anti-codon position. The record is from RNAcentral. RNAcentral also lists the same sequence under 2 other names. Lineage: Bacteria; Bacillati; Bacillota; Negativicutes; Selenomonadales; Sporomusaceae.
GGCUCCGUAGCUCAGCUGGAUAGAGCGUUUGACUUCGAAUCAAUAGGUCGGGGGUUCGAAUCCCUCCGGGGUCACCA